CUCUGCAAAUGAAUAACAAUGUCGUAACCAGAAGCUUGGUGCUUAUAACAAGUAAAAAGCCGCCAUCACAAGGAAUAAAACGUGAUAAAUUAGACCAAUCUUGGAAGCCACACUGGCUGCACCAGUAGCUGGCGAAUAGCUUCCUUCAGGUGUGCCUGUUGUGAGAACAACUACUAUCCAGUCUCCAUCGGAACCAAUCCCAACUCCUGUAUACUUGGUGUCAUUGAGGUUAUCAUUAUACUGAGACUGUGUAAAGUUAGUGAGUACAAGAUUUGGAACUAGGUUAGGAACACAAGCAGGCAUUACUGCUCCAUCCCUUGUGUUGGAGACACAUUCAAAUGGCAUUUGGCCAGAAGGUUUGGGUAGUUGGCAAACUGCGGUUCAGUGCCUGGAACGGUGUUGGCACCGGUGGAGUUUGUGCAAGGUUGGUUCUUAAAUUGAUCUGCUAGUUCAUCAGCAAGGCACUCGGCAUUGUCAUUUUUCUUCAGAAUUGUCAAGUUCAAUGAAGCCCGGUAAUCGUUUAUGCCUUUAAGAAGAUUAUCCUCCUCAUCUGUAAAUGGUCAAGAAUAAAGUCGGUGAUUACAUAUAAUAUUUUACUGCCAUUUCGUAUUAGAAAGAAUAAACAAAAAAGUUCUAUUUUGGGUGUGAACCAAAAUGCAAAGAAGAUCGAUUUUCUUCGCCUCUUGAAACAAAAAGAAAAUCAUAGUUACAUGGCAGAAAAUUUCCAGCAAAAUAAGUUUAUAUCCUCCCAUGUAGCUAAAUUGCUGAACAGCUAAACAUCAGAAAGAUCCAGUACUGCAACUCAUGAAGUUACUCAAAAUUCAAACCAAGUAAUCCAUACAAAAGCCAAAUCUCAUCAGUCAGCUUAGGAUAUCAGAGAGAAAACAACAUUUUUAUUCAAAGGGGAAACCAUACAGGCUAAUAAAACCCAGAUUUCUAGCUAUAUGACUGCACUCUAGACCCUCCAAACAAAGUCAAUCUGAACCCGCAUCUAAUUCAAAUUUGAUGGCUCAUAUUAGCCAUAGUUAUGAUGGUCAGAGCUCAAGGUUAGGUUUAGGACUGUAAUACAGCUGAGUCAAAAAUCGGAUCCAGCUCAGUUAAGUACCAUUUUUUGAGAUAGAGCUUUGCUCUAGAUGAAAUCGAACUAUUUUUCAUACAGGAAGGACAACUAGAAAUCUGCAUUCUGCUGGAACAGUGAGUCCGAAAAUUCUAAGACAUAUUACAUGAAAAAUUAGGGAAGUGUUUACUUGGUGCACCAGUAGCUGGCGAAUAGCUUCCUUCAGGUGUGCCUGUUGUGAGAACAACUACUAUCCAGUCUCCAUCGGAACCAAUCCCAACUCCUGUAUACUUGGUGUCAUUGAGGUUAUCAUUAUACUGAGACUGUGUAAAGUUAGUGAGUACAAGAUUUGGAACUAGGUUAGGAACACAAGCAGGCAUUACUGCUCCAUCCCUUGUGUUGGAGACAUUCAAAUGGCAUUUGGCCAGAAGGUUUGGGUAGUUGGCAAACUGCGGUUCAGUGCCUGGAACGGUGUUGGCACCGGUGGAGUUUGUGCAAGGUUGGUUCUUAAAUUGAUCUGCUAGUUCAUCAGCAAGGCACUCGGCAUUGUCAUUUUUCUUCAGAAUUGUCAAGUUCAAUGAAGCCCGGUAAUCGUUUAUGCCUUUAAGAAGAUUAUCCUCCUCAUCUGUAAAUGGUCAAGAAUAAAGUCGGUGAUUACAUAUAAUAUUUUACUGCCAUUUCGUAUUAGAAAGAAUAAACAAAAAAGUUCUAUUUUGGGUGUGAACCAAAAUGCAAAGAAGAUCGAUUUU
Molecule: long non-coding RNA, 1806 nt
Filed under: Gossypium barbadense (sea-island cotton)
Lineage: Eukaryota; Viridiplantae; Streptophyta; Magnoliopsida; Malvales; Malvaceae
Description: long non-coding RNA (GBAR_LNC008210)
Source: RNAcentral